AUUGAACGCUGGCGGCAGGCCUAACACAUGCAAGUCGAACGGUAACAGGUCUUCGGAUGCUGACGAGUGGCGAACGGGUGAGUAAUACAUCGGAACGUGCCUAGUAGUGGGGGAUAACUACUCGAAAGAGUGGCUAAUACCGCAUGAGAUCUACGGAUGAAAGCAGGGGAUCGCAAGACCUUGUGCUACUAGAGCGGCCGAUGGCAGAUUAGGUAGUUGGUGGGAUAAAAGCUUACCAAGCCGACGAUCUGUAGCUGGUCUGAGAGGACGAUCAGCCAGACUGGAACGGCGCCACGGCCCAGACUCCUACGGGAGGCAGCAGUGGGGAAUUUUGGACAAUGGGCGCAAGCCUGAUCCAGCAAUGCCGCGUGCAGGAUGAAGGCCUUCGGGUUGUAAACUGCUUUUGUACGGAACGAAAAGCCCUGGGUUAAUACCCUGGGGUCAUGACGGUACCGUAAGAAUAAGCACCGGCUAGCUACGUGCCAGCAGCCGCCGUAA
Molecule: ribosomal RNA, 498 nt
Filed under: uncultured bacterium
Lineage: Bacteria
Description: partial 16S ribosomal RNA
Rfam family: Bacterial small subunit ribosomal RNA
Source: RNAcentral